AUGGAAUCUCCUUGAAUUAAGAUUGAAAGGGAAAAUGACGUAAUUGAAAUAUGAAUGAUUAUGUAGAAUUCCUUCAAUAUUAAAGGAUUUCCUCUUUUUUUUUAAAGGUGAAUGAAGCAAAUAUGAAUGUAAAUUUGGAACGUGAAAAAUGUAAAAAAUAAUAAAAAAAAUAAAAAUAAAUAUGAAAUAGUAAAUAUGAUCAUGAAUGAAGGAUAUGAAGGUGAGUGAAGAAAGAAUG
RNAcentral lists this long non-coding RNA (238 nucleotides) under Lathyrus oleraceus (garden pea). RNAcentral describes it as "Pisum sativum (pea) long non-coding RNA (PSAT_LNC014426)". Lineage: Eukaryota; Viridiplantae; Streptophyta; Magnoliopsida; Fabales; Fabaceae. The record is from RNAcentral.